Molecule: ribosomal RNA, 490 nt
Filed under: uncultured bacterium
Lineage: Bacteria
Description: partial 16S ribosomal RNA
Rfam family: Bacterial small subunit ribosomal RNA
Source: RNAcentral
AUUGAACGCUGGCGGCAGGCCUAACACAUGCAAGUCGAACGGUAACAGGAAACAGCUUGCUGUUUCGCUGACGAGUGGCGGACGGGUGAGUAAUGUCUGGGAAACUGCCUGAUGGAGGGGGAUGACUACUGGAAACGGUAGCUAAUACCGCAUAACGUCGCAAGACCAAAGAGGGGGACCCUCGGGCCUCUUGCCAUCGGAUGUGCCCAGAUGGGAUUAGCUUGUUGGUGGGGUAACGGCUCACCAAGGCGACGAUCCCUAGCUGGUCUGAGAGGAUGACCAGCCACACUGGAACUGAGACACGGUCCAGACUCCUACGGGAGGCAGCAGUGGGGAAUAUUGCACAAUGGGCGCAAGCCUGAUGCAGCCAUGCCGCGUGUAUGAAGAAGGCCUUCGGGUUGUAAAGUACUUUCAGCGGGGAGGAAGGGAGUAAAGUUAAUACCUUUGCUCAUUGACGUUACCCGCAGAAGAAGCACCGGCUAACUCCGUG